Taeniopygia guttata (zebra finch) is the source of this 3404-nucleotide long non-coding RNA. RefSeq lists it as uncharacterized. The record is from RefSeq and is a predicted model, not a curated record. NCBI's taxonomy places the organism in Eukaryota, Metazoa, Chordata, Aves, Passeriformes, Estrildidae.
CUUUGGUCCCUCUGCUGAGGUUUAGAGUGGAUGUUGCCUGGCAUCAUGGGACUUGUGCUUGUCUUCUCUGCAGUUACAGGCAGGAAGCUUCAAAGAAACAUGAAUGAAAAAAACGCCAAACCCCUGUCUUCUAGACCUCUUCAGGGAUACAAGAAUAUUUAAUGUGUGAAGCCUCUUACCUCAGUGGAUCCAGUGAAAGCAAUUUUAUCAAUGCCAACAUGAGAGGCUAUGGCUGCACCAACAAUUGGACCAAAUCCUGGCAAAAUAUUGACAACUCCUGGUGGAAAGCCAGCCUGUCAAAAUAGGAAUGAAUGAAGGUGGCUGCCAGAAGAACAUUGCCUGAGAGGGACCUGACACUGAUCCCACAUCCAAUCUAAAAUUUUGUGUAAAAAGGGUAUUUUUAAUAUACGCAGCUGAAGUAAACCGACAUUCUUCAGUCCUCACUGAUAUUAAUAGAGCAAGAUCAAUUUGCAGCUGCUUAGCACCUGGCCCAAAAACUUUCAUUUUUUAAUCAGAAAGCAGGUCCCAUUUAUCCAGGGAUCUCACUUUGGGACAGCAAUAUCUUCCACAGAUGUGUUUGCUUAGAUUUCCAUCAGGAGUCUCCAGCAUGGAUAUUUUAUUUGCAUAACAACCAUAAUACAGUCCUAUGCCUCAUAUAGCAGGACACAGCAAACAAGUAGGAAUGGUCAUUCCAUGGAUUUUGUCUGCCCAACCAGCAUAAUACCUCAGGGUUUUUAUGACUCCCUGGAGAUCUACAUAGAAAGCUUGCAAAAACGGUUUGCCGCUGUUCAGUGAUUCCAUAGUCUGCAGGACAAGAAAAAGUUAAGAGAUCAAGAAUUGCCCUGUCCCUUUCCACCAAGUCAGCUAACUUAUCCAAAAGAUGGCCUCUUUCUGAGGCAUCCAUUCUCCUCCAAACAGAACCGAGGGAAAAAGCCAGCCGAGCUGCCCUCACUGCCUUGUCCGUAUCAACCUGGGAAGAAGGAAGAAGAAAAUUGAAGACACAAGGGCUGUGUUUAUAAAGACAGGGACCUUUGAAAGCUUGAGGAGCCUCAGUUCCAAUCAGAGAUACACAGAGUUCCACAGGGCUGAUCAAGAAAGCAAUCUGACUCAUCCUUCAGGUCAAGUGACUGUUCAGAGCCUUGAAGAUACCUCAUCAUACCGGAAAGUAUACAAAGGAAAAGUAAACCCAAAGUUACCAUGUAAAAAUUCCAAGUUACUUUGAAAUUGCUGACAUGUAGUUGGAAGAAAAUCAUACAUUGCAUUUUGCACAAGACCUGCAUUUCACAAGCAUUACACACUGAGUUCAAUAGCCUUUUGGAUGCUCAUCAGUUUUGGAAUCAAGCCAAGAAUAAAUGUUUUUAGUAUAACACAAAGCAAAUUUAGCUUUGCAAAUAAACAACUACAAUCUCUUGUUUCAGUAGCCAUCCAUCCCAGCUGGCUUAGUAAUAACUAGCAACUUAAAAUGGUUCAUUUUAAACCAUGCAGGUAAUUGCAGUGAUAACUAUUCAAAGAGGAAGGGAUGUGUAGAAACCCAGGCUGGACAUUCUGAUCUGCAGUGCAGCAAUAACAAAAUUUAGUGCAGGGAGAAAACAUAUUUUGUGUUUUCAUCACUAUUUACCAGCAGGGAAGUACUAAACAACUAUCUUUAUUAGUGUGUGUAUAAAUAUAAUUAAUUAAGCACAGAAGUAAGGCCUCCUUUGCAGCUCAUAGUUGAAGGAGCCUUAGUUUCAUGGCACUUCAAAUUCCCUCUGCUGUUGAGCCAGGGGCUAGCCCUGGAUUUGGGAAAUGGAACUGAUUUUUACAUUCACUGGGGAGUCUGCAUGCUCACUGCCUCUCUUUUUUUGUAUUGCUGUUCCUUAAAAUAUACAGGGAAAAGAAAACAUUUUGGGCUCUCUAAAUUCAUAAGAGUAAUCAACACAGGUGGCAACAAUGUAACUUUUCAUUUCCUUUCUUGAAAAUGUACUCAAAUGAUGUGUGAGCGAAAUGAUGAUCUACAUUCUUAAUUCUAUAUUGCUUAGUGAUGAUGUCAUGAGACAUUUUCUUCAGGCUCCCCAGCUGUUUAACUCAGAACUUCAGGCAGUCCACAGACAGUGGCCCAGCAUUCAGCUCUUUGGAGGUGGAAUUAUUUUCCCAUGGAUUUAAUAAACAAGGUUUUUGUGUUGUUGCAGCUCCUAGAAAUGUUUUUUGGUACAGGAAGAGGAUUUUAACAUCCAAAUAAUAAUGGCUUCCCACAGGAGAUUUGGUUCUGGAUGAAUGGAGGAAGGAAUGGGAAUUUCCUUACUCAAUUGAUUUAGUAGCUGGUUAUAGUUUCAUUCCAUCAAAGAUCUUUUUUUCAUAUGUGGGUUUUUCCUUAGAGAGCUUUUGGCAUUAAAUCUGCUGGGAUGGGGGAGGGGUCAUCAGAUGCCAAAGUACUUUAUAAGAGAAUCACAGCUGCUUGGCCCUCAGCAUCUUCUCAGAGCUGGAGGCACUAGGAAGGCACUUCUUUUUUAGGGGGGAUGGACAACAAUUUUAGAGGCAUGCAAAAAAUCCAGCAGCAGCAUUUCCCUUGGUAAAUACUGCAUAACAUCCCAGAUACUGGGCACCUGUGCCUCAGUCUGGUCAGGAAAUUUCAUAUCCUUUCCCAUCUCAGCAACUUCAUUUCCUCUCCUUGGGAAACAUUUCAAGAGUCCUAAUGAUUAGUACAAUUUUAAGGGAAUGAACUAGGUGGGAUUGCCAAUCAGAGGUGCAGCUUGUUUAUUUUCACAGGCCUUGUUUUCCUUCACUUUUAUGGCUGUCUUGAUACAGCAAAUCUCUCACAUUCUAGAGUGUGUUGUGAGGCACUCCUGGGAGUGACUGGAAACCAACAGCUGGCUAUGGAAUCAGCAAAAACCUGGUUUAUAAGAAGGCACUAGGAAAGCAAAAGCCAAUUCCAGCAGUCUGCUGGCUGAAUGACCAGCGAUGGAUCAGCAGUGCCAUUUAAUUUUACUUUUAAGAGGGUUGUUCAAGUGACCAGCAAGAGUCACAGCUUCUUGUUGGCAGUUCACAACAGGUGAGUAAUGGGCUUCAAGGCCAACCUCCCCAAGCACUGUGAGUGCAGAAUCCUGCUUCUGAGGCAUGAAUGAGCUUGUCUUGGCAGUGCCAGUGACUGUGCUGCUUUCAGGGGAUAGCCCUGCACAAGCCAAGGCAGCCUGGCUGGCCUAGCACCUCAGCACAGGUGGUUCUCAUGUCAUUCAUUACCCCAGAGCAGAAUCAUCCUCAGAAGUUAUCCAGUUCUUUAGUGAGAUGCCUUUCAGCUGUGGGGGAACUGCAAUUUGUAUGAGAGUAACAGUGAACUGCAGAGGAACAACUUUGCACCAAAUUUAAUUCGGGCAAACUCCCAUGGGCAUAGCUGGUUUUCAGCUGCAAGAGGUCCAAGAGGUCCAGGG